UACGAAGGGGGCUAGCGUUGCCCGGAAUCACUGGGCGUAAAGCGCACGUAGGCGGAUUGUUAAGUCGGGGGUGAAAUCCUGGGGCUCAACUCCAGAACUGCCUUCGAUACUGGCGAUCUUGAGUCCGGGAGAGGUGAGUGGAACUCCGAGUGUAGAGGUGAAAUUCGUAGAUAUUCGGAAGAACACCAGUGGCGAAGGCGGCUCACUGGCCCGGUACUGACGCUGAGGUGCGAAAGCGUGGGGAGCAAACAGG
Molecule: ribosomal RNA, 253 nt
Filed under: uncultured bacterium
Lineage: Bacteria
Description: partial 16S ribosomal RNA
Rfam family: Bacterial small subunit ribosomal RNA
Source: RNAcentral